Molecule: ribosomal RNA, 562 nt
Filed under: uncultured bacterium
Lineage: Bacteria
Description: bacterial SSU rRNA
Rfam family: Bacterial small subunit ribosomal RNA
Source: RNAcentral
AUUUCCANUGGGGGAACCCUGAGGCAGCAACGCCGCGUGAGUGAUGAAGGCCUUCGGGUCGUAAAGCUCUGUCAAGUGGGAAGAACCUACAGCAUGGUAACACCAUGCUGUACUGACGGUACCACUGAAGGAAGCACCGGCUAACUCCGUGCCAGCAGCCGCGGUAAUACGGGGGGUGCAAGCGUUAUUCGGGAUUAUUGGGCGUAAAGGGCGCGUAGGCGGUUUCUUAAGUCAGAUGUGAAAGCCCGGAGCUUAACUCCGGAAGUGCAUUUGAAACUAAGAGGCUUGAGUAUGGGAGAGGGAAGUGGAAUUCCUGGUGUAGAGGUGAAAUUCGUAGAUAUCAGGAGGAACACCGGUGGCGAAAGCGACUUCCUGGACCAAUACUGACGCCGAGGCGCGAAGGCGUGGGGAGCAAACAGGAUUAGAUACCCUGGUAGUCCACGCAGUAAACGUUGAACACUAGGUGUAGUGGGUAUUGACCCCUGCUGUGCCGCAGUUAACGCAUUAAGUGUUCCGCCUGGGGAGUACGAUCGCAAGAUUAAAACUCAAAAAAAUUGACGGA